This is an RNA transcript of Pezoporus occidentalis (night parrot), 2042 nucleotides long. It is a transcript of the gene named thyroid hormone receptor interactor 4, with no coding region annotated. The transcript has 13 exons. The record is from RefSeq and is a predicted model, not a curated record. NCBI's taxonomy places the organism in Eukaryota, Metazoa, Chordata, Aves, Psittaciformes, Psittacidae.
GCGUUCCCGGGGGGGAGGUGGCGCUGUGGCGGCUGUGCGGCACCGAUUCCAGUCCCUCGCGGAGAAGAUGGCGGCGCCCAGCGCGCUGCUGGCCUGGUGCGUGCAGCAGCUCCGCGGGGACUUCGGGCUGGACGUGGGCGAGGAGGUGGUGAGGUAUAUCUUGUCAAUAACAAACGAGGACGAGAUCCGGGAGUACAUUGUUGACCUCAUCCAGGGGACUGAUGGGAAGAAGAGUCAGUUUGUGGAAGAGCUGCUAGCCCAGUGGAGGAAAUGCUCCCAGCUGCCACUUGAGCCUGCGCCAGCAUAUCGGAAAAGGGAUGAGACUUUGGAAAUGCCGCGGGCUGGAGACCAAGUGAAAAAGGGUAAACGCAAAGGAAGAAACAAGCAGGAGGCACCUGCCCACGCAGAACCGAGCGCAUAUGUAGAGGAGGUAAAAACCCCGCUCGACCUGGCCAGGGCACAGGAGAGCAACAGUGGAGUUGGCAGCAUGAGCAGUUCCUCGAAGAAGAAGCCCAAAUACGUCAACCUGUACACCAAGGAGGGGCAGGACAAGCUGGCAGUGCUGCUGCCCGGGCGGUACGCCUGUGAGUGCCUGGGCCAGAAGCACAAACUCAUCAACAACUGCCUGGAUUGUGGGCGCAUUGUCUGCGAGCAGGAGGGCUCUGGGCCCUGCUUGUUCUGUGGAGCUCUGGUGUGCACUAAAGAAGAGCAGGACAUCCUUCAGCGGGACUCAAACAAGAGCCAGAAGUUGCUGAAGAAGCUUAUGGCAGGUGCUGAAAAUUCGGGGAAUUUGAGUGCCAUAAGCAAAGACUUACUGCCUCGCCAAGAGGCCAGACUCAAAGCAGGCCUGGAAAUGGCUGUGAAACACAAAGACAAGUUGUUGGAGUUUGACAGGACAAGUGUGCGCCGCACCCAGGUCAUCGAUGAUGAAUCAGAUUACUUUGCCACUGACUCCAACCAGUGGCUCUCCAAGCAGGAGAGGGAAGCUCUCCAGAAGAGGGAGCAGGAGCUGCGGGAGCUGCGGCACGCCUCUCGGCUUGCCAGGAAAAUCACCAUCGACUUCGCUGGCAGGCAGAUCCUGGAGGAGGACAACAGCAUGGCGGAGUACCACAGCAUGUUGGAUGAAACCAUUGAAGCCAUGAAUCGUGGCACACUGAGCGAGCCAGCCAGGAGCCCGGAAGCAAAGACAACCUUGGGUCCUGGUGUUCUAGUGAAUCCCCGUCUUCUUCAGCCUGCUCCUUUGUGGGUGGACCAAACUGGUUUGCUCCCACACAGGAAACCCAUCCAUUCCAUGGACACCGAAAAUGAGCCUGACUCCGAGAGAAACAGGUUGCGGAUUCAGGAUCGAGAGUUGCAGGAGAUCUCAGAUGAUGGCUGGUGCCUCAGCAUGCACCAGCCUUGGGCUUCCUUGCUUGUAAGAGGAAUUAAAAGGGUGGAGGGCAGGACCUGGUACACCUCUCAUAGGGGGCGGUUGUGGAUUGCAGCUACUGCUAAAAGACCUUCCCCUCAGGAAGUCUCUGAACUGGAGACCACCUACAGGAUGCUGCUCCGGAAAGAUGUGGAAUUUCCAGGCGAUUAUCCCUCCGGAUGCCUCCUGGGCUGUGUGGACGUGACUGAUUGCUUAUCGCAAGAGCAAUUUAGUGAGCAGGAUGGGUAAGAGGUUUCCGGGGUAGAUACAAUAGGAAGCCGUAAAUGCAGCGGCUGGACUGGGGUCUCCUUCCCUGCCUCCUGCGAGUGAGAUGCCAGAGGAAGGACCGAAGCCUUUAAAAUGCAGGACACAGGGAUUUGGCACAUGUACAGAGACGUACCCUGGGAGCAGAGAUGAAAGGCUGCAGCGUGUAAGCGUAGACCCAAGUUGCAGCUGUGACAUACGCCUCAGCUUUGGGAUAGAAUUGAGCUGGAGCUUUUGGAGCUGAAGGUUUGAUCCUGGUUUCGGAUGAAAGCUGUCAAUGGAGAAACCAACCUAGGUGUCUCUCACUGCUGAUGCCAGGGUGUAGAGGUGGCUGUCAGUAUCCGGAUCUGAGCCAGGAGUCCGGGUCUCC